GCCCCGGUGGCGAAAUUGGUAGACGCACAGGACUUAAAAUCCUGGGACCCUUACCGGUCGUGCCAGUUCAAGUCUGGCCCGGGGCACCA
Molecule: transfer RNA, 89 nt
Filed under: Pseudobdellovibrionaceae bacterium
Lineage: Bacteria; Pseudomonadati; Bdellovibrionota; Bdellovibrionia; Bdellovibrionales; Pseudobdellovibrionaceae
Description: Bdellovibrionaceae bacterium tRNA-Leu
Rfam family: tRNA
About the family: Transfer RNA (tRNA) molecules are approximately 80 nucleotides in length. Their secondary structure includes four short double-helical elements and three loops (D, anti-codon, and T loops).
Source: RNAcentral